Molecule: ribosomal RNA, 449 nt
Filed under: uncultured bacterium
Lineage: Bacteria
Description: partial 16S ribosomal RNA
Rfam family: Bacterial small subunit ribosomal RNA
Source: RNAcentral
AACGAACGCUGGCGGCAUGCCUAACACAUGCAAGUCGAACGAAGCCUUCGGGCUUAGUGGCGCACGGGUGCGUAACGCGUGGGAAUCUGCCCUUUGGUUCGGAAUAACAGUUGGAAACGACUGCUAAUACCGGAUGAUGACGAAAGUCCAAAGAUUUAUCGCCAGAGGAUGAGCCCGCGUAGGAUUAGCUAGUUGGUGUGGUAAAGGCGCACCAAGGCAACGAUCCUUAGCUGGUCUGAGAGGAUGAUCAGCCACACUGGGACUGAGACACGGCCCAGACUCCUACGGGAGGCAGCAGUGGGGAAUAUUGGACAAUGGGCGAAGGCCUGAUCCAGCAAUGCCGCGUGAGUGAUGAAGGCCCUAGGGUUGUAAAGCUCUUUUACCCGGGAUGAUAAUGACAGUACCGGGAGAAUAAGCCCCGGCUAACUCCGUGCCAGCAGCCGCCGUAA